CUGCUAUAUUGCCCCCUGCUGGGCCACACUACUGUGCCUGUUGCACUUAUUCUGGGUUGGGCAACACUCUCCCUCUGGCUGUGCGGUUGAGCCCUGGGUUCUAUUGUACAUACUCUGAGGGUGAUCCCCUUCUUUAAUGGCCUAUGUAACAGAGCUCCCUGUACCCCUGGCUGGGUACCUCUGCAAAGGACCGCUUCCUAGCUGGAACAGGGGACAAACCGCAGCACUUCUGCCCACAGUCACCGUGGCUGGAGUGGGGUCCUGGAACCGAAUGGGGAACUCACUCUAGCAAUCCCCAGGCACUAGAGGACACUCAGUCCUGGGAGCUCUAGGCCUUAUAAGGACUUUCCCCUUAAAUCCUCCACACUGGAACAGUGAUUAGUCCUUUACCCUCUCAGUAACCAGAUGACACAUAGUUCUGUGAGUACAAGCUGGAAUGUUUUAAUCUGGCCAGAUGGCCUGCUUUUAUACAGUUUAGACACAGUCAAACAUGCCCAUAACACUCCCACACAAAACAGGAUAAUCCUUCCCCCUGUGCCUGAGAGGAGACCAGUUACAAGCAAACAUCUAACAUACUCCUCCCCUGUGCCUGAGAGAUAAUUACCUGAGCACAUCAACAUAUAAUUGAAUUAUCUCUCAGUACAGAAACAGGCAAUAUAACAAAACCCCCAAAACACAUGAAACACAUGAAAAUCCCACACAAGUCAAAUCCCCUGAUAGCGCAGAUCUGGGUGACCAACAUCAUAAUUUUGACGGACCGUGCACAUGGUCCUACGCCCAAAACAGUUUCAUGAAAUCAGUGCUAACGGUCGGUCAAGUUCGGUAGUUUAAAAACGAACAAACUACCAAACGGAAUCCAUAGUUCUACCCUGGAGCUUGUUCAUAGUGUUCGUGGGAACGUUUCCACGAACAGUGCCCUUCUAAGUUGCAUAGAACCGAACUCAGAUGACAAUGUCCGAUUUUAGUUCCAG
Molecule: non-coding RNA, 971 nt
Organism: Pelobates cultripes (western spadefoot toad)
Lineage: Eukaryota; Metazoa; Chordata; Amphibia; Anura; Pelobatidae
Source: the annotation of a GenBank genome assembly